UAGGGAAUCUUCCGCAAUGGGCGAAAGCCUGACGGAGCAACGCCGCGUGAGUGAUGAAGGUCUUCGGAUCGUAAAACUCUGUUAUUAGGGAAGAACAAAUGUGUAAGUAACUAUGCACGUCUUGACGGUACCUAAUCAGAAAGCCACGGCUAACUACGUGCCAGCAGCCGCGGUAAUACGUAGGUGGCAAGCGUUAUCCGGAAUUAUUGGGCGUAAAGCGCGCGUAGGCGGUUUUUUAAGUCUGAUGUGAAAGCCCACGGCUCAACCGUGGAGGGUCAUUGGAAACUGGAAAACUUGAGUGCAGAAUAGGAAAGUGGAAUUCCAUGUGUAGCGGUGAAAUGCGCAGAGAUAUGGAGGAACACCAGUGGCGAAGGCUACUUUCUGGUCUGUAACUGACGCUGAUGUGCGAAAGCGUGGGGAUCAAACAGG
RNAcentral lists this ribosomal RNA (429 nucleotides) under Actinomycetes bacterium. Its description in RNAcentral is "Actinobacteria bacterium partial 16S ribosomal RNA". It matches the Rfam family "Bacterial small subunit ribosomal RNA", at positions 355 to 776 of the family's 1533-position model. The record is from RNAcentral. Lineage: Bacteria; Bacillati; Actinomycetota; Actinomycetes.